GUGCCAGCAGCCGCGGUAAUACGUAGGGUGCGAGCGUUAAUCGGAAUUACUGGGCGUAAAGCGUGCGCAGGCGGUUCGCGAAGUCCGAUGUGAAAGCCCUGGGCUUAACCUAGGAAUGGCAUUGGAAACUGGCGGGCUGGAGUCCGGCAGAGGGGGGUGGAAUUCCUGGUGUAGCAGUGAAAUGCGUAGAGAUCAGGAGGAACACCGAUGGCGAAGGCAGCCCCCUGGGCUGAGACUGACGCUCAGGCACGAAAGCGUGGGGAGCAAACAGGAUUAGAAACCCUCGUAGUCC
This 292-nucleotide ribosomal RNA is filed under the name uncultured bacterium. RNAcentral's name for it is "partial 16S ribosomal RNA". It matches the Rfam family "Bacterial small subunit ribosomal RNA", at positions 505 to 796 of the family's 1533-position model. The record is from RNAcentral.